Molecule: long non-coding RNA, 202 nt
Organism: Telopea speciosissima
Lineage: Eukaryota; Viridiplantae; Streptophyta; Magnoliopsida; Proteales; Proteaceae
Exons: 3
Source: RefSeq, a predicted model, not a curated record
UAAAAAGCAAAGAAACCUGAAGUAACGGAAGCGAUAGAGACGCAGAUGAUAUCCAAGAAAACCCAAAAAUGGAGGAGAAAUGGAAGUGAGCUCAACCACAGCUUGGAUCGAUCAUCAUAUUACGGAUCGUAUUAGCUACUCAACAAGAAAAUCAAAAAGGGAUUAGAGAGAAGAAUCAGAAUUUGAUGAAAUCCAAACUUAU